UAAAAGCGGGGCCGUCUUAGCAUGCAGUCGAACGGUAAGGGAGAGCUUGCUCCCCCCUAGAGUGGCGGACUGGUGAGUAACGCGUGGGUGACCUGCCCUGAAGAUGGGGAUAGCUAGUAGAAAUAUUAGAUAAUACCGAAUGUGCUCAUUUACAUAAAGGUAAAUGAGGAAAGGAGCUACGGCUCCGCUUCAGGAUGGGCCCGCGUCCCAUUAGCUGGUUGGUGAGGUAAAGGCUCACCAAGGCAACGAUGGGUAUCCGGCCUGAGAGGGUGAACGGACACAUUGGGACUGAGAUACGGCCCAAACUCCUACGGGAGGCAGCAGCUAAGAAUCUUCCGCAAUGGACGAAAGUCUGACGGAGCGACGCCGUGUGAAUGAAGAAGGCCGAAAGGUUGUAAAAUUCUUUUGCAGAUGAAGAAUAAUCAUAGGAGGGAAUGCCUGUGAGAUGACGGUAAUCAUGCGAAUAAGCCCCGGCUAAUUACGUGCCAGCAGCCGCGGUAACACGUAAGGGGCGAGCGUUGUUCGGAAUUAUUGGGCGUAAAGGGUAUGUAGGCGGUUAGGUAAGCCUGGUGUGAAAUCUACGAGCUCAACUCGUAAACUGCAUUGGGUACUGCUUGACUUGAAUCACGGAGGGGAAACCGGAAUUCCAAGUGUAGGGGUGGAAUCUGUAGAUAUUUGGAAGAACACCGGUGGCGAAGGCGGGUUUCUGGCCGAUGAUUGACGCUGAUAUACGAAGGUGCGGGGAGCAAACAGGAUUAGAUACCCUGGUAGUCCGCACAGUAAACGAUGUACACUAGGUGUCGGAGCAAGAGCUUUCGGUGCCGACGCAAACGCAUUAAGUGUACCGCCU
RNAcentral lists this ribosomal RNA (850 nucleotides) under uncultured bacterium. RNAcentral describes it as "bacterial SSU rRNA". It matches the Rfam family "Bacterial small subunit ribosomal RNA", at positions 37 to 874 of the family's 1533-position model. The record is from RNAcentral.